Molecule: unclassified non-coding RNA, 252 nt
Filed under: Hevea brasiliensis (rubber tree)
Lineage: Eukaryota; Viridiplantae; Streptophyta; Magnoliopsida; Malpighiales; Euphorbiaceae
Source: RNAcentral
GUUGCUAAUGGGGAGAAAGCAAGCCAAAAGAAUUCAACAGGUGGGAAUAACAAGGCAACUAGUUCCAACCCUCCAAAAAGUAAUAAACCCCAUGCCAAAGCAACUUCUAUCAAACAUUAUAGAUGUAAUGAGGAGGGGUAUUGAUGCAACGAAUAUCCAAGGAGGAAAACCGUGAGUUUUGUUGAAAACCAAAAGGAAAUUUUUUAUGAACCUAAAGAAGGUGAGGAUGUGGAGGAUGAUUUUGAGUAUGAA